UACGUAGGGGGCAAGCGUUAUCCGGAUUUACUGGGUGUAAAGGGAGCGUAGACGGCAGGGCAAGUCUGGAGUGAAAGGCAGGGGCCCAACCCCUGGACUGCUCUGGAAACUGUCCGGCUGGAGUGCAGGAGAGGUAAGUGGAAUUCCUAGUGUAGCGGUGAAAUGCGUAGAUAUUAGGAGGAACACCAGUGGCGAAGGCGGCUUACUGGACUGUAACUGACUUUGAGGCUCGAAAGCGUGGGGAGCAAACAGG
This 253-nucleotide ribosomal RNA is filed under the name uncultured bacterium. Its description in RNAcentral is "partial 16S ribosomal RNA". It matches the Rfam family "Bacterial small subunit ribosomal RNA", at positions 524 to 776 of the family's 1533-position model. The record is from RNAcentral.